GCCAGGGAUAGCUCAGUUGGUGGAGCAUGAGACUCUUAACCUCAGGGUUGUGGUCUUGAGUCCCACAUUGGGCA
Podarcis lilfordi (Lilford's wall lizard) is the source of this 74-nucleotide non-coding RNA. NCBI's taxonomy places the organism in Eukaryota, Metazoa, Chordata, Lepidosauria, Squamata, Lacertidae. The record is from the annotation of a GenBank genome assembly.